This 1031-nucleotide ribosomal RNA is filed under the name Streptomyces mirabilis. RNAcentral describes it as "partial 23S ribosomal RNA". It matches the Rfam family "Bacterial large subunit ribosomal RNA", at positions 1008 to 1903 of the family's 2925-position model. Lineage: Bacteria; Bacillati; Actinomycetota; Actinomycetes; Kitasatosporales; Streptomycetaceae. The record is from RNAcentral.
AUGUCGAGAGGGAAACAGCCCAGAGCAUCGACUAAGGCCCCUAAGCGUACGCUAAGUGGGAAAGGAUGUGGAGUCGCACAGACAACCAGGAGGUUGGCUUAGAAGCAGCCACCCUUGAAAGAGUGCGUAAUAGCUCACUGGUCUAGUGAUUCCGCGCCGACAAUGUAGCGGGGCUCAAGCGUACCGCCGAAGUCGUGUCAUUGCAGCAAUAGGGCCAACGCCUGCUGUGAUGGGUAGGGGAGCGUCGUGUGCCGGGUGAAGCCGCGCCGGAAGGCAGUGGUGGACGGUUCACGAGUGAGAAUGCAGGCAUGAGUAGCGAUACACACGUGAGAAACGUGUGCGCCGAUUGACUAAGGGUUCCUGGGUCAAGCUGAUCUGCCCAGGGUAAGUCGGGACCUAAGGCGAGGCCGACAGGCGUAGUCGAUGGAUAACCGGUUGAUAUUCCGGUACCCGCUGUGAAGCGUCAAACAUUGAACCAGGCGAUGCUAAGUCCGUGAAGCCGCCCUGGAGCCUUCGGGCGAAGGGGAGUGGUGGAGCCGACGGACCAGACCUGUAGUAGGUGAGUGAUGGGGUGACGCAGGAAGGUAGUCCAUCCCGGGCGGUGGUUGUCCCGGGGUAAGGGUGUAGGACGUUGUCCAGGUAAAUCCGGACAGCACAUAGUCUGAGACCUGAUGCCGAGCCGAUUGUGGUGAAGUGGAUGAUCCUAUGCUGUCGAGAAAAGCCUCUAGCGAGUUUCAUGGCGGCCCGUACCCUAAACCGACUCAGGUGGUCAGGUAGAGAAUACCGAGGCGUUCGGGUGAACUAUGGUUAAGGAACUCGGCAAAAUGCCCCCGUAACUUCGGGAGAAGGGGGGCCAUCACCGGUGAUGAGUCUUGCACUCUGAGCUGGGGGUGGCCGCAGAGACCAGCGAGAAGCGACUGUUUACUAAAAACACAGGUCCGUGCGAAGCCGUAAGGCGAUGUAUACGGACUGACGCCUGCCCGGUGCUGGAACGUUAAGGGGACCGGUUAGUCACUCUUCGGGGUGGCGAG